GGGUACGUAGCUCAGUGGAUUAGAGCAACCGCCUUCUAAGCGGUCGGUCACAGGUUCGAAUCCUGUCGUACCCG
Molecule: transfer RNA, 74 nt
Filed under: Cyanobacterium sp. T60_A2020_053
Lineage: Bacteria; Bacillati; Cyanobacteriota; Cyanophyceae; Chroococcales; Geminocystaceae
Rfam family: tRNA
About the family: Transfer RNA (tRNA) molecules are approximately 80 nucleotides in length. Their secondary structure includes four short double-helical elements and three loops (D, anti-codon, and T loops). Further hydrogen bonds mediate the characteristic L-shaped molecular structure. tRNAs have two regions of fundamental functional importance: the anti-codon, which is responsible for specific mRNA codon recognition, and the 3' end, to which the tRNAs corresponding amino acid is attached (by aminoacyl-tRNA synthetases). tRNAs cope with the degeneracy of the genetic code in two manners: having more than one tRNA (with a specific anti-codon) for a particular amino acid; and 'wobble' base-pairing, i.e. permitting non-standard base-pairing at the 3rd anti-codon position.
Source: Rfam by way of RNAcentral